This 1320-nucleotide ribosomal RNA is filed under the name uncultured bacterium. RNAcentral describes it as "bacterial SSU rRNA". It matches the Rfam family "Bacterial small subunit ribosomal RNA", at positions 27 to 1394 of the family's 1533-position model. The record is from RNAcentral.
GAACGUACGCUGGCGGCACGCCUAACACAUGCAAGUCGAACGAAGUAGCAAUACUUAGUGGCAGACGGGUGAGUAACAUGUAGGUAUCUGCCCUUUGGCCUGGAAUAACACGAGGAAACUUGUGCUAAUACCGGAUAAGUCCUUACGGAGAAAGCUUUAUGCACCAUUGGAUGAGCCUGCACUUGAUUAGUUUGUUGGUGGGGUAAUGGCCUACCAAGACUGUGAUCAAUAGCUGAUUUGAGAGGAUGAUCAGCCACAUUGGGACUGAGACACGGCCCAAACUCCUACGGGAGGCAGCAGUGGGGAAUCUUGCACAAUGGAGGAAACUCUGAUGCAGCGAUGCCGCGUGAGUGAAGAAGGCCCUUGGGUUGUAAAGCUCUUUCGUCGGGGAAGAAAAUGACUGUACCCGAAUAAGAAGGUCCGGCUAACUUCGUGCCAGCAGCCGCGGUAAUACGAAGGGACCUAGCGUAGUUCGGAAUUACUGGGCUUAAAGAGUUCGUAGGUGGUUGAAAAAGUUGGUGGUGAAAUCCCAGAGCUUAACUCUGGAACUGCCAUCAAAACUUUUCAGCUAGAGUUUGAUAGAGGAAAGCAGAAUUUCUAGUGUAGAGGUGAAAUUCGUAGAUAUUAGAAAGAAUACCAAUUGCGAAGGCAGCUUUCUGGAUCAUUACUGACACUGAGGAACGAAAGCAUGGGUAGCGAAGAGGAUUAGAUACCCUCGUAGUCCAUGCCGUAAACGAUGUGUGUUAGACGUUGGAAAUUUAUUUUCAGUGUCGCAGCGAAAGCGAUAAACACACCGCCUGGGGAGUACGACCGCAAGGUUAAAACUCAAAUGAAUUGACGGGGACCCGCACAAGUAGUGGAGCAUGUGGUUUAAUUCGAAGAUACGCGCAGAACCUUACCAACACUUGACAUGUUCGUCGCGACUUUAAGAGAUUAAAGUUUUCGGUUCGGCCGGACGAAACACAGGUGCUGCAUGGCUGUCGUCAGCUCGUGUCGUGAGAUGUUGGGUUAAGUCCCGCAACGAGCGCAACCCUCACUUUUAGUUGCCAUCAUUAAGUUGGGCACUCUGAAAGAACUGCCAGUGAUAAGCUGGAGGAAGGUGGGGAUGACGUCAAGUCCUCAUGGCCCUUACGUGUUGGGCUACACACGUGCUACAAUGGUAUCUACAACAGGAAGCAAGACGGCGACGUUAAGCAAAUCCUUAAAAGAUACCUCAGUUCGGAUUGCACUCUGCAACUCGAGUGCAUGAAGCUGGAAUUACUAGUAAUCGUGGAUCAGCGUGCCACGGUGAGUGCGUUCCCGGGUCUUGUACUCACCGCC